AGUAACACGUGGAUAACCUACCUAUAAGACUGGGAUAACUUCGGGAAACCGGAGCUAAUACCGGAUAAUAUUUUGAACCGCAUGGUUCAAAAGUGAAAGACGGUCUUGCUGUCACUUAUAGAUGGAUCCGCGCUGCAUUAGCUAGUUGGUAAGGUAACGGCUUACCAAGGCAACGAUGCAUAGCCGACCUGAGAGGGUGAUCGGCCACACUGGAACUGAGACACGGUCCAGACUCCUACGGGAGGCAGCAGGAGGC
Molecule: ribosomal RNA, 256 nt
Filed under: uncultured Staphylococcus sp.
Lineage: Bacteria; Bacillati; Bacillota; Bacilli; Caryophanales; Staphylococcaceae
Description: partial 16S ribosomal RNA
Rfam family: Bacterial small subunit ribosomal RNA
Source: RNAcentral